This 253-nucleotide ribosomal RNA is filed under the name uncultured prokaryote. RNAcentral's name for it is "partial 16S ribosomal RNA". It matches the Rfam family "Bacterial small subunit ribosomal RNA", at positions 524 to 776 of the family's 1533-position model. The record is from RNAcentral.
UACGAAAGGUGCGAGCGUUAAUCGGAAUUACUGGGCGUAAAGCGCGCGUAGGCGGUUUGUUAAGUCUGAUGUGAAAGCCCUGGGCUCAACCUAGGAAUUGCACUAGAUACUGGCAAGCUAGAAUGCGGUAGAGGGGGGUGGAAUUCCAUGUGUAGCGGUGAAAUGCGUAGAUAUGUGGAGGAACACCAGUGGCGAAGGCGGCCCCCUGGACUGACAUUGACGCUGAGGUGCGAAAGCGUGGGGAUCAAACAGG